RNAcentral lists this unclassified non-coding RNA (329 nucleotides) under Hevea brasiliensis (rubber tree). Lineage: Eukaryota; Viridiplantae; Streptophyta; Magnoliopsida; Malpighiales; Euphorbiaceae. The record is from RNAcentral.
GAGAACCUGCUUUCUUUACCUAGGACUAUUCCCCGAGGAUGUUUCCAUCCAGAAAAAAAAAUUUGAUCCGCCUGUGGGUUGCAGAAGAAUUAUUACCCCAAGGGGUAGAAAUAACACUAGGCGUUGCUGAGAAAUGCCUAAAUGAGCUGAUUCAAAGGUGCGUGAUUCAAGUGGGAAGAAUUAGCUCUCUUUGGCAGACUGAAAAACAUUCCGAAUCAAUGACCUGCUGAGAGACUUUUCUAUCUUAAAGGGAAAGGAAGAAAAUUUCCUCCAGAACCAUCACAGGAGUAAGGUAAAUCCAUCAACAUGUCAUUUAAAUAAAUCCCAAA